This 504-nucleotide ribosomal RNA is filed under the name uncultured crenarchaeote. RNAcentral describes it as "bacterial SSU rRNA". It matches the Rfam family "Archaeal small subunit ribosomal RNA", at positions 1 to 480 of the family's 1478-position model. Lineage: Archaea; Thermoproteati; Thermoproteota. The record is from RNAcentral.
UUCCGGUUGAUCCCGCCGGACCCCACUGCUAUCGGGGUGGGACUAAGACAUGCUAGUCGUGCGCCUCCAAGCCACGGUGGAGGCGCGGCGCACAGCUCAGUAACACGUGGCUAACCUACCCUUGGGACGGGGACAACCCCGGGAAACUGGGGCUAAUCCCCGAUAGGUGAGGACACCUGGAAUGGGUCCUCGCCGAAAGGGCGUCUAGACCAUGCUUCUGGACGCUGCCCAAGGAUGGGGCCGCGGCCGAUCAGGUAGUUGGUGAGGUAACGGCUCACCAAGCCUAUAACCGGUACGGGCCGUGGGAGCGGGAGCCCGGAGAUGGACACUGAGACAAGGGUCCAGGCCCUACGGGGCGCAGCAGUCGCGAAACCUCCGCAAUACGCGAAAGCGUGACGGGGUCACCCCGAGUGCCGUCCGCUGAGGACGGCUUUUCCCCAGUGUAGCCAGCUGGGGGAAUAAGGGGAGGGCAAGUCGGGUGUCAGCCGCCGCGGUAAAACCAGC